Long non-coding RNA from Cyprinus carpio (common carp), 1015 nucleotides. The record is from Ensembl. NCBI's taxonomy places the organism in Eukaryota, Metazoa, Chordata, Actinopteri, Cypriniformes, Cyprinidae.
GAAACUUGAGACUAAACUCAACAACAGAGAAAGAGAAGCCAAUCAGAUGGCUGAGAAUUUGGAAAAUGAAAAGAUCUGCUCCUGUGUUGCAGGUGGUUUUAUAGAAGGUGUUUUGUCAUUGUGAUCACAAGAGCAUCUGAGGACUGCAGGAGGGCUGUCAAAGGAUCUUGAAUCCAACCGCAAUCGCUUGCAGAAUCAGCUGCGCAAGAAAGAAGCUGAAAAUAAUCGGCUGGAGGCUCAGAUUCAAAGGCUGGAAGGGACACUGCAGCAUCAACAGGAGGAGGUGCAAGGCCUGCUGGAGCAGAUGAGAGAGUUGAAGCAGCACUGUGAAGGAGACAGAGAUGUCCUCAAUCAGACCUUGGAGGACCAGAGGAAACAGGCUGAACAAAGUGUGAAUACAGCUACACAGCUCUCUGCACAACUCCUGGACAAGGAGGCUCAGUUAGCAGAGGCUCUCUCCACUGCUGAGGAGCUUCAGCAGUGUUACUCCAAACAGAACAGAGAGAAAAGCCAGCUGGAGUUGGAGAACAGCACCUUAAAUAAGUCAGAGACUCUUUCUUCACUUGCUUUACGUGUUCACUGAAGCUCAAACAUGAGCAUUUUACUCACUUUACAUUAUCCAUAUUAUCUUCAUCUUUACUUCAUCUGUAUUCUUUUUAGCAUAAUGAUCAAUAUUGAAUUAAAAACAUUUAAACCAUGAUCCUUAAGAUUAUACUUUUUAUUACAAUUUAAAAUACAGGUAAAAUGUAAUUUAUUCUUGUGAUGGCAAAGCUGAAUUUUCAGCAGCCAUUACUCCAGUCUUUAGCAUCACAUACUUUUUCACAUUACAGCAAUGAGAAUAAUGAUAUAUAUAUAUAUAUAGUAAUGAUAAUUAAGGGGAAUAAUUUAUUCAAAGUAUAAUUUCUUGUUAAUUUCUUGUUUUUUGACUUUUGAGGAUUGAAAUAUAAUAUAAACUCAAAAAAAUCCUCUUUGGUUUUUUUUUGUCAAGUUUCCUGAUAUUUACCCAAUUACCAUA